UACGAAGGGGGCUAGCGUUGCUCGGAAUCACUGGGCGUAAAGCGCACGUAGGCGGCUUUCUAAGUCAGGGGUGAAAUCCUGGAGCUCAACUCCAGAACUGCCUUUGAUACUGGAAAGCUUGAGUUCGGGAGAGGUGAGUGGAACUGCGAGUGUAGAGGUGAAAUUCGUAGAUAUUCGCAAGAACACCCGUGGCGAAAGCGGCUCUCUGGAACGGUACUGACGCUGAGACGCGAAAGCGUGGGGAGCGAACAGG
RNAcentral lists this ribosomal RNA (253 nucleotides) under uncultured bacterium. Its description in RNAcentral is "partial 16S ribosomal RNA". It matches the Rfam family "Bacterial small subunit ribosomal RNA", at positions 524 to 776 of the family's 1533-position model. The record is from RNAcentral.